This 253-nucleotide ribosomal RNA is filed under the name uncultured bacterium. RNAcentral's name for it is "partial 16S ribosomal RNA". It matches the Rfam family "Bacterial small subunit ribosomal RNA", at positions 524 to 776 of the family's 1533-position model. The record is from RNAcentral.
UACAGAGGUCUCAAGCGUUGUUCGGAUUCAUUGGGCGUAAAGGGUGCGUAGGCGGCGGUGCAAGUCCGAUGUGAAAUACCGGGGCUCAACCCCGGAACUGCAUUGGAUACUGCAUUGCUAGAGUGCUGGAGAGGGAACUGGAAUUUACGGUGUAGCAGUGAAAUGCGUAGAGAUGUGGAGGAAUACCGAUGGCGAAGGCAGCCCCCUGGGAUAACACUGACGCUCAUGCACGAAAGCGUGGGGAGCAAACAGG